Molecule: ribosomal RNA, 497 nt
Filed under: uncultured bacterium
Lineage: Bacteria
Description: partial 16S ribosomal RNA
Rfam family: Bacterial small subunit ribosomal RNA
Source: RNAcentral
GACGAACGCUGGCGGCGUGCCUAAUACAUGCGAGUUGAGCGAUGAAGAUUGGUGCUUGCACCAAUUUGAAGAGCAGCGAACGGGUGAGUAACGCGUGGGGAAUCUGCCUUUGAGCGGGGGACAACAUUUGGAAACGAAUGCUAAUACCGCAUAAUAACUUUAAACAUAAGUUUUAAGUUUGAAAGAUGCAAUUGCAUCACUCAAAGAUGAUCCCGCGUUGUAUUAGCUAGUUGGUGAGGUAAAGGCUCACCAAGGCGAUGAUACAUAGCCGACCUGAGAGGGUGAUCGGCCACAUUGGGACUGAGACACGGCCCAAACUCCUACGGGAGGCAGCAGUAGGGAAUCUUCGGCAAUGGACGAAAGUCUGACCGAGCAACGCCGCGUGAGUGAAGAAGGUUUUCGGAUCGUAAAACUCUGUUGGUAGAGAAGAACGUUGGUGAGAGUGGAAAGCUCAUCAAGUGACGGUAACUACCCAGAAAGGGACGGCUAACUACGUG